Molecule: transfer RNA, 69 nt
Filed under: Marmota monax (woodchuck)
Lineage: Eukaryota; Metazoa; Chordata; Mammalia; Rodentia; Sciuridae
Description: tRNA.Ala
Source: RNAcentral
GCAUGUAACUCCAUGGUAGAGCCUUUGCUUGGCGUGCCCGAGGUCCUGGGUUCAAUCCCCAGCACUGCA